This 71-nucleotide transfer RNA is filed under the name Methanosarcina mazei. RNAcentral's name for it is "tRNA-Cys". It matches the Rfam family "tRNA". Rfam says of the family: Transfer RNA (tRNA) molecules are approximately 80 nucleotides in length. Their secondary structure includes four short double-helical elements and three loops (D, anti-codon, and T loops). The record is from RNAcentral. RNAcentral also lists the same sequence under 3 other names. Lineage: Archaea; Methanobacteriati; Methanobacteriota; Methanomicrobia; Methanosarcinales; Methanosarcinaceae.
GCCAGGGUGGCGGAAAGGCUACGCAAUGGACUGCAGAUCCAUUAAUCCUGGUUCGAUUCCAGGCUCUGGCU